This 262-nucleotide ribosomal RNA is filed under the name Klebsiella quasipneumoniae. RNAcentral's name for it is "partial 23S ribosomal RNA". It matches the Rfam family "Bacterial large subunit ribosomal RNA", at positions 1085 to 1345 of the family's 2925-position model. The record is from RNAcentral. Lineage: Bacteria; Pseudomonadati; Pseudomonadota; Gammaproteobacteria; Enterobacterales; Enterobacteriaceae.
ACAGACAGCCAGGAUGUUGGCUUAGAAGCAGCCAUCAUUUAAAGAAAGCGUAAUAGCUCACUGGUCGAGUCGGCCUGCGCGGAAGAUGUAACGGGGCUAAACCAUGCACCGAAGCUGCGGCAGCGACGCUCAGGCGUUGUUGGGUAGGGGAGCGUUCUGUAAGCCUGCGAAGGUGGCCUGUGAGGGCUGCUGGAGGUAUCAGAAGUGCGAAUGCUGACAUAAGUAACGAUAAAGCGGGUGAAAAGCCCGCUCGCCGGAAGAC